RNAcentral lists this ribosomal RNA (427 nucleotides) under uncultured bacterium. RNAcentral's name for it is "partial 16S ribosomal RNA". It matches the Rfam family "Bacterial small subunit ribosomal RNA", at positions 355 to 774 of the family's 1533-position model. The record is from RNAcentral.
UGGGGAAUAUUGCACAAUGGGCGCAAGCCUGAUGCAGCCAUGCCGCGUGUAUGAAGAAGGCCUUCGGGUUGUAAAGUACUUUCAGCGGGGAGGAAGGCGAUAAGGUUAAUAACCUUGUCGAUUGACGUUACCCGCAGAAGAAGCACCGGCUAACUCCGUGCCAGCAGCCGCGGUAAUACGGAGGGUGCAAGCGUUGAUCGGAAUUACUGGGCGUAAAGCGCACGCAGGCGGUCUGUCAAGUCGGAUGUGAAAUCCCCGGGCUCAACCUGGGAACUGCAUUCGAAACUGGCAGGCUAGAGUCUUGUAGAGGGGGGUAGAAUUCCAGGUGUAGCGGUGAAAUGCGUAGAGAUCUGGAGGAAUACCGGUGGCGAAGGCGGCCCCCUGGACAAAGACUGACGCUCAGGUGCGAAAGCGUGGGGAGCAAACA